GUUGACUUCGGAUUAGGUAGGAAU
RNAcentral lists this ribosomal RNA (24 nucleotides) under Plectosphaerella alismatis. RNAcentral's name for it is "partial 28S ribosomal RNA". The record is from RNAcentral. Lineage: Eukaryota; Fungi; Ascomycota; Sordariomycetes; Glomerellales; Plectosphaerellaceae.